This is a long non-coding RNA of Physella acuta, 396 nucleotides long. RefSeq lists it as uncharacterized. Lineage: Eukaryota; Metazoa; Mollusca; Gastropoda; Physidae. The record is from RefSeq and is a predicted model, not a curated record.
UAAACGUCUGUUCAUUAGAUGACCUGAUUUUGUUUGUUUUGGCGUUUAAGAGAUUUGGGACACUCUGGUGGAAUGUGGUUUAGCACACUCACGUGUGUACUAUGUCUUCUAGUGAUUACUCAAAGUGCCUUGUCGGCUCAUGUUUGGUUCGGUUCAAAUCAACAACAUAUUUGUCACUGUGAGAACAACCAAUGCAACCCGGACGGGCAGUGUAAAGCUGGAACAAAGUGCGCACUCGGCUGGUUUGGUAAAACAUGCCAGUACAUGGAUCUACUAGGCAUAUUUAACAGCAAUGACAUAUUAACGGACAAUGAUGAUAAUACGUGUGUCGACGAUACAUUACAAUAUAAGGAAUUACGGUUGAUAGGAGAGUAUCCGACAUUGCAACUACGGUUG